RNAcentral lists this ribosomal RNA (241 nucleotides) under uncultured bacterium. RNAcentral describes it as "partial 16S ribosomal RNA". It matches the Rfam family "Bacterial small subunit ribosomal RNA", at positions 15 to 244 of the family's 1533-position model. The record is from RNAcentral.
GAUCCUGGCUCAGGACGAACGCUGGCGGCGUGCCUAAUACAUGCAAGUCGAGCGGAUCUGUUUGAAGCUUGCUUCAGACAGGUUAGCGGCGGACGGGUGAGUAACACGUAGGCAACCUGCUCGUAAGACCGGGAUAACGUAGGGAAACUUACGCUAAUACCGGAUAGGGCACCUUCUCGCAUGAGAGGGUGCGGAAAGGUGGCGCAAGCUACCACUUGCGGAUGGGCCUGCGGCGCAUUAG